RNAcentral lists this long non-coding RNA (647 nucleotides) under Chinchilla lanigera (long-tailed chinchilla). RNAcentral's name for it is "lncRNA (ENSCLAG00000023800.1)". The record is from RNAcentral. Lineage: Eukaryota; Metazoa; Chordata; Mammalia; Rodentia; Chinchillidae.
UGUUCACUCAAAAUAAAAUGAGUGAUAUUUUAGAGGGUUAGAAAACACUGACUUAAAGGAAUGCUCUCUGCACAGAACGCGCUGGCCUGGUGGACACCGACAGGGGGACGUUGGUGAUGGAAACUCCAGAGGAAGUGGCAGUGGACUGCGGAGCACGAGUUCCUUUUAUGUCUGCCACCAUGGACUGUACCACACAGAAGAGAGAGUUUUCCACAACUACAGCAAAUAGACUCUCAAGGACUAGAAGAUAACUGACUGCGUAAGUCUACAAAGGAACAUUUCGACCAUGACCAUAAACCACGGCCAAGUGUGUUGACUCCAAGAGACCAAAGUUGUUUUAUAUUAUAAAGAGCAGCCACUGAUGAUGAAAAAUUCAAAGACAAAAUUCAUGACUCUAUCUCCAUUGCUGUCAAAAAGUAAUACUUUCAGAGAAAAACAACCACUGAUAAUAUUUCUAGCAUACUAAGUAUAAAAUAAAUAUCUGUUAUCUCCCAACAAGUAUACUUAAAUUUUUAGAAUAAACAUGAUCUUUAAGGAUCAAACCUUCAAAGCUUUCUUUUAAAACCUGUAAAAGCACAUUAAAUAUUUUAUCUUCAACAUAAGUUUUCAUAUACUCAUUAUGUUAAUGUGUUUAGAGUACAGUUUUU